ACUUAGUCUACCAACAAUGCCCAUGACGCCACACGCACCAAGUCCGAUCUCUGCUCCGCUCGGGAUCUUUUAUAGAGGGGGCACAGAGGAGCAGGGGAGAAAGGAGGCGGCCGAGGGUAGGGACGGGAAGGAGAGGAGGCGGCAAGGGGUAGUCGGCGGUGGCGGCGGCACGGUCGGGGCGUGGUGGCAGAAAGCGCAACCGAAGAGGAAAGGGGUUCGGCGACGAUAGGACGAGCAGUGCAACUGACGGCUGCUAUCCUCCUCUGGGCCCCCUCGUCUCCUCCCUCCACCUGCUGCCCCACUCCUCCGUGCUCCCACUCGUCCUCCACCCCCAGUCUCCUACGUCGCCGCGACCCAAGAGAGGGGUGCGGUGGUACAGCAAACAAGAAGGAGGGAUUCCAAGUCUAGACUUCGCCCUCUCUGUGUGCACGUUUCACCGUCUUCUCCCUUGUCCCACUCCCAACACUACCCUUGCGGUCCUGCUGCCGCUCUUCACCUAGAGACUCGACCGACGGCCAGGAGAGUCCAUGUUCUAAAGUGAGGUACGGUAUCUGCACGUUGUACUACCACAUUGUAUGGUUUCAAUAACCCGGCACACUUGACACGUCCAAGCCCUCUGUUCCUUCCUUGGUCUACGAGGGUUUCAAGAAGACCAACUCAGCUAAUGAAUGAUCGUUACUAUAAGUGUUACCCUUCGGAAAUAUCGUCCGAUGAAACUAACUAAGGGUUUGAUACCGAAUCAAUGUUUAUAAAACCACCACUACAAAGUAUGUGGUCAGGUCACAACGAUGGGUUACUACUCAACAUACUUCGUGAAACUUUACGAAACUUCUUUCAGAAAAUCCACCACCAAGAUGACGACGAUGAAGACACUGUCGGUUCCGCAUCCAACGUCGAGCGUCUCGAAAUUCCUCCUUUCCUUCUGUACUAAAGAAGAACUUCUCCGGAAGUUCACGUACACCUUCACAUCGUACGUUCGUAAUACGCUGUUACUGUGUGACGAAUAGCAUGCGAGUGUGGGAGAUUUCUGGUGUUAGUCUGAUUCUUCUACGAAUUUAUUCGACAUUUGGUUAUAUUCAGUAAGAUGAUAUAUAUAGACAUGAUAAUAGACAUUAUGUUAGGUGUAACGUAAUAUAAAGGUCGAUGUAGAGGAU
This 1154-nucleotide ribosomal RNA is filed under the name Triticum aestivum (bread wheat). RNAcentral describes it as "partial small subunit ribosomal RNA". Lineage: Eukaryota; Viridiplantae; Streptophyta; Magnoliopsida; Poales; Poaceae. The record is from RNAcentral.